This 489-nucleotide ribosomal RNA is filed under the name uncultured bacterium. Its description in RNAcentral is "partial 16S ribosomal RNA". It matches the Rfam family "Bacterial small subunit ribosomal RNA", at positions 30 to 507 of the family's 1533-position model. The record is from RNAcentral.
UUGCACGCUGGCGGCAGGCCUAACACAUGCAAGUCGCACGGUAACAGGAAGCAGCUUGCUGCUUCGCUGACGAGUGGCGGACGGGUGAGUAAUGUCUGGGAAGCUGCCUGAUGGAGGGGGAUAACUACUGGAAACGGUAGCUAAUACCGCAUAAUGUCGCAAGACCAAAGAGGGGGACCUUCGGGCCUCUUGCCAUCGGAUGUGCCCAGAUGGGAUUAGCUUGUUGGUGGGGUAACGGCUCACCAAGGCGACGAUCCCUAGCUGGUCUGAGAGGAUGACCAGCCACACUGGAACUGAGACACGGUCCAGACUCCUACGGGAGGCAGCAGUGGGGAAUAUUGCACAAUGGGCGCAAGCCUGAUGCAGCCAUGCCGCGUGUAUGAAGAAGGCCUUCGGGUUGUAAAGUACUUUCAGCGGGGAGGAAGGGAGUAAAGUUAAUACCUUUGCUCAUUGACGUUACCCGCAGAAGAAGCACCGGCUAACUCCGUG